Molecule: ribosomal RNA, 290 nt
Filed under: uncultured bacterium
Lineage: Bacteria
Description: partial 16S ribosomal RNA
Rfam family: Archaeal small subunit ribosomal RNA
Source: RNAcentral
GUGCCAGCUGCCGCGGUAAUACCGGCAGCCCGAGUGAUGGCCGAUAUUAUUGGGCCUAAAGCGUCCGUAGCUGGCCGACCAAGUCUCCCGGGAAAUCCACCCGCCCAACGGGUGGGCGUCCGGUAGAAACUGGCCGGCUUGGAACCGGAAGGCUCAGAGAGUACGUCCGGGAUAGGAGUGAAAUCCCGUAAUCCCGGACGGACUACCGAUGGCGAAAGCACUCUGAGGAGACGGCUUCGACAGUGAGGGACGAAAGCUCGGGUCUCAAACCGGAUUAGAAACUAGUGUCC